CAGUGGCUGAUGACACCCCGAGAGAGGGAAGCUGGGAGACGGAGAGGCACGUGUCCCUUGUUGGGAGCACGCAUGGCCACUCACUCCAGUGAGAUGGAAGACUCCCAUCCUCUGUGACGACUCCCGUCCUCUGUGACCCACAGAAGCAGCUGGAUCCCAGGUGACACUGGUGUGCAGCCGGGCCGUGCGAUCUCUAGCCAUCGCAGACCUGGGUUCCUCCACAGUGGUUUCCAAAAAGGAAGGAGAUGGAGGGCGAGUGUGUGGAUUCAGAGUGACCUGCCUGUCACCAGUGGUCCCAAAGGACCUUCAGGGGAUCCCAGUUCAAACCGACUGUGUCAUUUGCAGGGCUGUGAGUGCUAUCGGGGUUUGCUUGCACUGAGGCGUCAGGACUGAUGGAUGGAGAGGGUGUUAGAGUGCGGUUGUGUGUGUGCUCUAAACAUUCUGCACUAACAUGUGUGCAGGUGAGGUGACAUGGUCCCGGCACUUCAAGACAGCCACCUGCAGGUGUCGGUGUAUGUUGGCAACGAGGGUGCCUGAGAGUGGCCUCAUGCAGUUUCUUCAUAUUAUCCCCCUUCCUCCUUUUAUAUCCCGUAUUUUGGGGGCAUUAAGAUCACUCUGGUUUGUUGCUUGGUAUUCCUACACGCAAUGUGACAUAGCUUGGCCUAUCUCUUCCUUCUUUUGAAAACUUAGAUAAUAGAAGAGAUUAAGAAACGCUGUGCUCCGGCCAUAAGAAAAUAGACUCAAACCACAGGGGCUGGGGGAGCCUUCUGGGGAGGGGUCAUAAACACAGGGGAAGGAACUGGGAAGGGCCACCAGGCCCACCAAGUCCCCCCAAGACAGGAGCCCUUGGAGGGGACUGGCAACUGAGGGGUGGGGGCUGCUCCUGCCCUCCCUCCUUCUCCCUCCCUCCCUGGCACCCCCUGACCUUCCAGGCCCUAGGAGUUGGGGACCUGCCAUCGACUGUCUUUGACUCUCUAGGAGGGAGGGAUCUGCCGGCCCUGGUUGGCUCAGUCAGCCGUGGACCCUUGGUGACUUGGAUUAGGGACGUGUGCCGGGUCGGGUGGUGGAUUUCCAUUCCCAACACAUGAAGAGACUGAUGCUCAGAGGCUGAGGACUGGGUUUCUGCGACUGCGAAGUCCUUGUCUCUAGAAGGAGCUGUGAGUCGCGGGCAGGGUGGUGGUGGGAUCUGGCUGGCAUGGGGGUGAUGGCGGCAGGAGAGGCCGGAGCCCAGGCUGCGCUGUGGACUGGGGUUCUGACCUCGUGAAGGAGCACAGGACGCACCGGGGUGGGAGCUGCAGAGGCCACUGCAGGUGACAGGGCUGGGCUGGGCAUGGAGCCCAGAGAGCUUCUUCAGGAGAGGCAGCUCCUUCCUGGCACCUGCUGUGACACUUGCCCCGCAGGUCCUGCCCACCAUCAAGGCCCGGGGCACGCACCGCCCCUUCCCCCACGCCUUCCCUUCCUGUCCUCCUCUGGCCUCCAGAGCUGAGCAUGUUCUCUUCUUACCUUAGCUGCCCUGAGAAAGCAGAUUUGAUCAUUUCCUUAUUUUCUGUUACUGCACGUUGCUUCUCUGUCUCUGCUUUUAGAUUUCUGCUGGACUCUAAAGUCCUUGUCCUCAUCACAUUUGCAGGCAGGACAGUAGGAAGGGCCACAGUCCUAGCUUUAAAUCCCAUUCUCUCGCUUACUCACUGUGUGGCUUUGGGGCUGACCUGGCACUGCUCUUGGCACUGGGAGGCCUCUGUCCCACCUGGAACCCACCUGGCAGCCUGAGCCUCGCCCUGGGCCUUCCUGGCUGUGAAGAGCCCACCCCUGCCUCCUGCCUCUCCUUUCCCAGUGUUUCCGGGUGGACAUUCCCCUUUCUGAGCAACCCACAGUUUCCUGAGUUUACUCCCAAGCCUAUUCUGUUCUUCUUACUGUGCAGCUGGAAGCAUGGAGCUCAUGCACCCCAAUUGUGCUGGGUUGGUUUAUUGAUUAUUUCAAGCUGAGAACAAUGGGGAGACUGUAGCUGCAUAAAGGCUUCCUGACCCUGCAGUUCUUACACACAGCAGGCCACAGAGGCUCCUUCAGAAGGAGGCCGUCCCACACUGGGACAAGGAGUCUGCAGCACUGGGGCUGGAAGUUGGCACCUCAGUGUACCUGAACAAAUAAACUCAAAGAGUGACUUCUCUUCCAUUAGCUCACACCCCGUGACUCCCCUAGAAUCACCAUCCCUAGCCUAGACACCUUUGUCCUGCGAUUCUUCACGAAUUUAUCAUUCUUUGUCUAAGAAGUAGAAACGCUCCUGCUUUGGCUAUUUCUUCAGUUCUCUACUUCCUUGCGAGGGGACCCAUUUGUUUUAGUUCAUUUUCUGUGGCUGUAAGAAAAUACCUGAUGCUGGAAAAUAUAUGAAGGAAAGAGGUUUAGCCAGGUGCAGUGACACACACCUAUAAUCCCAUCAAUUUGGGAGGCUCAGGCAGGAGGAUUGCAAAUUCAAGGCCAGUCUCAGCAACUUAGUGAGACUCUGUCCUAAGAAAUACAAAGGACUGGGGAUGUAGCUCAGCAACAGAACACCUCUAGGUCCAAUCCUUACUACUGAGAGAGAGAGAAAAAAAAGGAAGAAAAAGAGGUUUAUUUGUCUUACAGUUUUGGAGGUUCAAGAUGCAGUGUCUGCUCAGCUCUGGUGAGGACCCCUUAGCUGAGCCACAAUGUGGAGGAUGGUAUGGUGGUAAGAGCUUGGGUGAGAGGAGAGACCCCUGACAGGCAGGAAGCAAGAGGGAUUCAAGGCUUGUUCGUAUGACAACCUGGCUCUGGGGAACGACAGGUCCCUGAGAGGUGCUCAGGGACAUACCCACCUCUUACAGGCUCUGCCACCUCCGCACGGCCAUCCUGGAGAGCAGCCUUCAGACUGUGAGCCUCGGGGGGCACCCACAAUCCACACCCAGGCCACCCCUGGGGGGCACCCACAAUCCACACCCAGGCCACACCCAGGCCCAGGGGAUGCUGAACAAGCCUGCACUCUCAUGUCCUGCAAAUCUGCUUUGUGUUGAUUUGGUUCCCAGACCCAGCUGGAGAGCCACCUGCAAACCCAGAAGGGCAAGGUGAUUAGUGGUCUCCCGCUCCCAAUAAUGCCAGGGACGUGUGCAGAGGGGAGUCUGCCAGCUUCCAGACGCCCGUGUAACCCCCUUCUCCUCUGUUUUCCCUCCCAGCGCCACACCCCUCAUCCCGGGGACACAGUGACAGUAAGUGUGUGGUGUGUGGGCAGAAUUGGGCAAGAAGGUUGAAGUGUAUCCACAGUUACGUCUGGGAGAGGUCUGCAUUUUCUGUAUUAGACCUUUUGAUAAUAGCUCACCGUUAGUUCUAUAGUAACUUUUUUUCUUAGAGAAAUGAGUGUGGCCUUUGGAAUCCUGCAACUAGAUGUGGCUUCUCUGUGACUGUGACUUAGGGCUCUGGGCCCUGACCUCAGCUGCCCCCUCUGUGAAGCACAGAUGUGACACCACCUCCUUCACAGGGCUGCUGAGAGCACAGGAGUCUUGACACAGGAUGGCCACCAAAUGCUCUGCUUCUGGGAAGGAGAGACACACAAGGUCCUGGGCCCCUCUCCAGCUCAUUCCUGUUUACACGAGGAACUCCCAGCACUGCAGAUGCGAAGCUAGUGUAUAUGCACGCACGUGUGUGCAAGGAGAAGAGGAAAGGGAGGCUAGUGUAUGUGCUUGUGUGUGCAAAGAGACAGGGAAGGGAGAGGAAACUCCAGCAGACGCCCGGCUAGCUGACCGCAUGUCCUGCCCUGAAUGUGCCUUCUUGGUGGCCCAAUGGCACGUUUUAUAUGCACACCUUACCACCAAAAAACAAACAAAAAAACAAACCAUGAGAAAACCAAAACAACUUCAAGAAACGUGUCUCAGGGAGGAGGGGAAUAUCUCUCCUUGCUGCAGGCUCGGGCCUCGGCCUUUUACCACGUGGUGCAGGAACCACUUGAGCUGUUUUAAAAGGUGCCAUCGUGGAUAUGCGUCCUCUGCCACAGGCACAGCUGGUCCCUGGCAGGGCAGCGAGCUGGGGAAAGCUAGGGAUGGGGAUGUGGAAGGGGAGCCCUUUCGACUUCCUGAGAGCCUUGAGGCCUAUCCCCUGCCACUUCCUCUGGCCUCUCUUCCUCAGCCCUGUUGCCUGAGCAGGUUCUCUGCAGUUGUGGGAGAGGGAGGGACGUGGCACGCAGCCCCUGGCUCCUCCCGCAGCCUCUGCUCCUGCCUGGGUGUUCUGACCCUGCCACUGAUCAGGGUCCUCCCGUGAGCGGACGCUCUCUCUCCAUGCUCUGCGUAAAUGUUCCUCACAGUGGGCCUCCAGGUGGGUGGUGUUAUGUCCAUUUGACAAGUGGCCCCCGGGAGGCCAGUGGCUUGCAGGCUACCUACCCAGGUAUAGCCAGAGGCUGAGCUGGGAUCCAGAUUUGACCUGUGAAUCUCUGAAGUCCACCCUCCCCGUGGUGGUCCUGGGUAGGCCUCUCCUCUUUCUUUAGUUGCAGGAUAAAACCGGGCGAAACCAAGAGGAAGGUGUUGGGGUCUGUUGGCGUCUCCUGGGAAGCUCUGCGAGGCACAGGGAGCUCCUCCUUACCGCCAGCCACGUCUAGGUCCCGUGCGCGGAGGGACAUGGGGCUGAGCCCCUCGUCUAGACCAGGCUCUGCAGACUUGAACACGUGUCCACAUCGCCUGCACCUUGGGUCCGAGUGCAGAUGCCCCUCAGUAGGUCUGGUGCGGGCGGACACUGCGCUCCUAAGCGGCUCCUGGGUGAUGCUGAGGUGCCCAGGGGGAUGGCACCUUGUGCAGAGAGGGUCUGAACGAGCCCUAGGUGAGUGGCUCCUGUAGAUGCUGUGGCGGUGCAGGAAGCAGGUCUAAGGCACAGGUGUUCCCUGCACCCGAGACCCUGCCCACCCGCAUCUGUGACGUACAGCAGCAUUUCUGUUGGUGGUGAGAUUGUGUGAAAGGCCGACCACACGACCUUGGGCCGUGAGAUCUGGUGCAGGGCUGUGGACUCUGUGAGGAGUUCCUGUCCAGCUCUGCUACAGUGGACAGGCUCCUUCCACUGAGGCCUUGGCUUUCUCCACUCCAUAAUGGGGGACGUGAACCCUGCGUACCUCACUGGGAGGACUGAACAGGUUCACCCAGACAAAGCCCAGGCGCACCCAGGCUCUCAGCGUGUGAACUCAGCAGACUCUGAAGCUCAUCUCAAGCCCCAACUCCUUGCAGGCUGGAAAGCCGUGUACUGGGCAGGGUCUGCUGGAGUCUGACACCAGGUGCCUGACCACAGACGAGACGUCAAGGCCCGGAGCCCUCACCAGAGAUUCUGUCCUUGCUGACAGGGUGACGGGGCAGAGGAGCCGGCUGUGCCCUCCCUCUCUGCACCACUAGAUGAUCUCUUUUCCCUACCUACCUGCGGCAAUUUCCCCAGUGACUUUUGGCACCAAAACAGAGAAUGUUAAGUCUUAGGAUAUUGGUUUAAGUGCUGCUUUGAGACGAGGUCAUUAGUAGUAGUUUGCUCAGUCAGAUCUUAGUUCAGUGCUUGGUGCCAGAGGUCCAGGAGACCUCACUGUCUACUAUGAGGUGUUGAGCAGAUGGAUAUGGUGGCCGUCGUGCCAAGCGCCGUUGGAGAACAGGCUGUCUGACCCGGGCGUGAGGAGCUGAGACGCCUGGGACUCUACUCAAGGGCUUUCUGAUGGCCUGUGUCCCAUACACUGGAGCAGGAGGGACAAAUGCUAGGGGCUCUGAUGUGGUCUGGGCCCUUAGGCGGGGGCAGUGAGAGGGGGAGAAGUUGGUGGAUCCUGGAGGGGAGCGGGGUCCCUCUAUUUCCCUGAUUAUGAAUUGGCGCCUGGCAUGUUAUAAUCCCCUGCUUUUUCUCAGUACAGAAGACACCAUGCAUCAGCCUAGACUAUUCCAACCAGCUGCGGGGUUUUGAGGCAGCUACUUCCCCUUUUAUAGAGCUUUUGAUUCCUCAAAUGGCAGUGGGAGUGCGCUUUGGGGUCAGUGGGGUCCCAAGCCUCGCCAUCUGGGGACUCCCGACCACAGUAUUAGCAGAAGGAGAUUUUAAGUUUUGAGUAAGCAGCAGAAGCAGAAGGGUCAACGAUAGAGAAGAAUCUCCCAUCCUUGAAGCAUCCGUGCCCCUUUCACAGGGUGGUGGAGUCACAGUCACGCUGUUAUAGUGGAGAGGCCAUAUGGAUCAGGAACCCCUUAGGACACCGCCACAAAGCAGACCUGGUCUCUGAGACAGACUCCGCCAGGCUCCAGCCAGGGGAAGCAGAGAGGUGGCUCAUCUGCUGGCUGUGGGGAGCCAUUCUCACACGUGACUGGGCAACUCCCGGUUUGGGUCUGAAGUGCUCUGGCUAAACUGUGUCGGAGCUUUCCCGGCCCCCUCCUGGUGCGAGAGCCUGUCCGUGUGGGGGUGUGACUGACCACUGACCCCGGGGGCCAAUCACUGACCCUGACCUUGGAGUGCGGCCCCCCUCAACCUUCAUUGGAUGGAAUUCUCCCCUGAAUUUCUUGUUCCCCAAUAAAAGGCUACUCCCUGGCAUGCUCCCUCUCUCUCUCUCCUGCUAGCCCUGAGUAAUCCUUGCUGCCCUACCGGGUGGUUCGAGGUGAGAACCAGAGGGGGAGCCGUCUCGGAUCUGGUCAUAGAAAAAGGUAACUGAGUUUGUGUGUUUAUUUCGAUCUCACUAGUUAACUUCUAUGCCAAGAACCUCUUUAAUGAAACCAGUGCGCUGGUCGCAUGGUGGAAGCUGGCGCUGCGGACACACGAUAAGUCAAGUGUCCGGUUCCGGGGACACUGACUGGACACACAACUCAACUUUCAAUGGCUUGAUGUCUCCAGAAAUUAGCACUGAAGUAUGAGCAUCUAGAAAGCAAACCUCCUGAAUUUGCAAGUCAGGAAACAGGACCAGAGGCCAGCUGGCGGGCUUGCAGUCCCGUGGCUGGCUACCUGGAAGUCCCAAAGCCUGAAGGGGUCUGUGCAGGGACAAUUUCCUCAGGAGGGUCCCUGGGGUGGUGGCACAAGGCAGUUGCUGAUGCUGUCAAGCAGACUCAUGGCCAGGAGCUGGGGUGCCCUGGAUGACCGCAGGUGCUUCCUGAAGGGGCCCCCAGGGACAGGGGCCUCAGUGGCUCUUCUCUGAAGUCUCCUAGCAUUUCCACGGGGCAGUUCACCCCGAGGACUGUCCCCUCUCAGUCCUCCAGUCUUUGGGACUCAGGAAGAAGACUGAUUCUUCCCCUCCAAGAACUGGGAACCCGUUCUCAAGGUUGGUUGGUUUUUAAAGAAUUGGUGACCAUCCACAUUUUCUCCUGAGGUCCUCUGAGCUGCUUUUUUUUCUUUAAAAUGACUCCAGCAUCACAAGACAGGUUGAAUCUACCAUCUUGUUUGAGCAGCCAGACCUUUAUCAAAUUAGAAUAAUGAACGAGGACAGGAAGGGGGAAGAGAUUUUCAUUGUUUUAUUUUUAGAAACAUGAUACUUAUGUGAAUCACGUGACCAGUUUUGACAAAAGCCUCUUUAGGUUUAAAAGUGCAUUUGCAAUUAAAACUAUAUAAAAAAUAGCACAUAAAUUCACAUACUUUUUUUUUUUCACUUCCUUUUAAAACAGGGAAUAACCUGGGGAUUUUUUUGUGUUUUCUGGCAGAAACUUCAGGUUUUUCAAGGAGGUCAGAGAGUGAAGGUCAAGAUUGAUGACUUCUGGGGACAGGUUAAAGGGAGCUACAUCGAGCUGGGCUGCUCCCGUGUGGGAAGCUCUGGAGACGCUGAACAGGUGUGAAUGGGCGUCGAGAGGCUGGACACAGGUCCUUCUGCCGCCUGUGUCCUGUGGCACCCUCAUGGUUCCUCUGGGGGCUGAAGGAUCUCACCUUUGGUGCUCUCUCCCUCCUCAGGGUCUCUGUUCAGAGCUGUGCCCUUUGGGGCACUGCUGACCCUCAGUCCCAAUUUCCACCAUCCUAUGUGACCAGGAGGGGAGCCGUGGACCCACGGAUGCUGUGGCCUGCUGGCUUUCACUCGCCCUGCUGCCGGGGCCCAGGCGGGUGCUGGACGCCAUCUGGGAGCAGCCCUGCGGGGGUCGGCGUCCACUGCUCCAGGGUCCUCCGGGAUUGAGAUGUGCCUCUCCUGGUGGUCACGGCUGUGGCUGUAUCCUAUGGACCUGGACCUGCAGCCCAUACCCGCGACUAGCAGCCUGCAGUCACCGCAGCGCUACCCUCCCGCCAGAUCCCUAGGCUGCCUGAGACUCAAUGCGGCAGUACAUUUGGAAAGCAGACAGCUCCAAGCCACGCUCCUGCCUGGUGUUGUCCCGAUGACCCCAGGCCACCGAGGUAGGCAGUUGGAAGUCCCUGUGUAGCAUUCGGGACUCUUUUGAAUUCUUUUGAGAGUUCAGGGCUGGACUGAGGGAGUGUGACCAUCACUGCUGGCAUCAGCCUGGCCCUGGGCAUCAGCCCAGCCUCUUCCUCUGACUCUGGACACUGAGAGCCCUACUCUUCUUGCAUGAGAGCCGGCAGUCAGAAAAAUGUAGUCUUGAGGACACCCGCAGCACG
RNAcentral lists this long non-coding RNA (8517 nucleotides) under Marmota monax (woodchuck). The record is from RNAcentral. Lineage: Eukaryota; Metazoa; Chordata; Mammalia; Rodentia; Sciuridae.